This is a long non-coding RNA of Zingiber officinale, 941 nucleotides long. RefSeq lists it as uncharacterized. The record is from RefSeq and is a predicted model, not a curated record. Lineage: Eukaryota; Viridiplantae; Streptophyta; Magnoliopsida; Zingiberales; Zingiberaceae. The transcript is spliced from 3 exons.
UUUCCCUUUGGUUUAGGUUACUUUGUUCAGCAAGAAGCAUGGGGUGAUAUGGGCGGAGGAGGAAGCAGAGACAACGUACGGGAGCAUCGAUUUGGUAUCCUCUGUUCUGCAGAGGAAACUGAGGAAGAUCAAGGAGAAAGAUACUGACCAUGGCCCCCACAUGAGGGGGUUCAAUCGCCUAAAGGUUCGGGAUACAGAGUUGGACAUAGUUGAAAGACGAGGAGGAACAAGACAUAGUGGAGUCUUCACCUGUAGAAGAAGACGUAGAACAACUGGGCAAGAUUGUGCGCACAAAGUAUUUUGACAUGCCGCCACUGUCGGUCGAGGAAGCAAAGGAGCAGCUCGAGAAUCUGGAUCACAGUUUCUAUGCUUUCAGGAACGAGGAAACUGGUGCAUCUUGUACAAGAGAAAAGAGGGUGGAUAUGGUCUGAUAAUUCCAAAAGAUGAACAAGUGCCAAAUACCGCAUCAUCUUCUGAACAUACCAUAGAAACUGCUAUCGCAGAGAAAGCAAGUGGAUGAUGCAGGAAGCUACACCUUAUUGGCAAUUCAUCACUUGCUUCUCGAGCUAGAUUACAGGAGAAUCUAGUGGUUGGAGAAGUAUCUCUGAUGUGCGAGGCGCACAAGAUCUGUUUGUUUAUACAGACAAACUGGGAUUUUAAGCUUGCACUUUUUUAUCUAAUAUUUUCUCGCUAAAAAUGUUCGGACUCGGGGAGAGAUAUCAAUCCAAUCAUUGGCUCAUUGGCUUUGAUGUUAAUAGACUAUGCAGCAUAACCUUCUUUAGAUGGUUUCUUAAAUUAAGUGUAUUUUUAUGUUUAUUAAUAUUUUUUUAAAAAAAAAAAUCUACCAUGUCAGCCACAAUUGAUGUAAAAAUCUAGUGUUAACUUUUAUUUAUUCCUAGUUAAAAUAUUGAUGUGCUAUGUAAGUGACGUUGGUCACUACA